This 303-nucleotide unclassified non-coding RNA is filed under the name Hevea brasiliensis (rubber tree). The record is from RNAcentral. Lineage: Eukaryota; Viridiplantae; Streptophyta; Magnoliopsida; Malpighiales; Euphorbiaceae.
AUAAUCUGCCUUCUUUUUGAGAAAACGAACUCAGUUCCUAACCUCUAAAAGAGUUAGCCGCGAGUUUUCCAGGGGAGUUCCGCAAGCAGAAACCAAGUGUUAGUCUAACCACAAGCGGGAGAAGUAGGGUGUGAGUAUAGUGUCAGUCAAUAAAUCGGGGUAUAUUAUGUGUUACGUGGCAGGACAAACACACAACGGCAGCACCUGAGCCACUGAAAAAAGGCAGAUGGAUUAUUUGCGAGUUUUCUGUUAAUUUUUAAGGCAAAAAGAUAAACUUGAUGAUACAGGAAGUGUGGUGUAGCU